UUUUCGCAAUGCCCGAAAGGGUGACGAAGCGACGCCGCGUGAGCGAAGAAGGCCUUAGGGUUGUAAAGCUCUGUCGAGGGUUAUGAAGUAUAGAUGGGUUAAUACCUCAUUUAUUUGACAAAGGCCCAAAAGGAAGUCACGGCUAACUCUGUGCCAGCAGCCGCGGUAAUACAGAGGUGGCAAGCGUUGUUCGGUAUUAUUGGGCGUAAAGAGCACGUAGGUGGUUUUGUAAGUCAGGUGUGAAAGCCUUCUGUUCAAAGGAAGAACGGCAUCUGAAACUGCAGAUCUUGAGUGUAGGAGGGGAGAGUGGAACUUCUGGUGGAGCGGUGAAAUGCGUAGAUAUCAGAAGGAACGUCGGCGGCGAAAGCGACUCUCUGGCCUAUUACUGACACUGAGGCGCGAAAGUUAGGGGAGCAAACGGGAUUAGAUACCCCGGUAGUCCUAACCGUAAACGAUGGGCACUAAGUAGAGGGGUUUUAA
Molecule: ribosomal RNA, 480 nt
Filed under: uncultured anaerobic ammonium-oxidizing bacterium
Lineage: Bacteria
Description: bacterial SSU rRNA
Rfam family: Bacterial small subunit ribosomal RNA
Source: RNAcentral